This is a small nuclear RNA of Mastomys coucha (southern multimammate mouse), 107 nucleotides long. The record is from RefSeq and is a predicted model, not a curated record. Lineage: Eukaryota; Metazoa; Chordata; Mammalia; Rodentia; Muridae.
GUACUCACGUUGGUAGCACAUAUACUAAAAUUGGAAUGAUACAGAGAAGAUUAGCAUGGCCCCUGCGCAAGGAUGACACAAUAAUCAUCCUGAUUAUCAAUCAGCCU